Molecule: long non-coding RNA, 1785 nt
Filed under: Canis lupus familiaris (dog)
Lineage: Eukaryota; Metazoa; Chordata; Mammalia; Carnivora; Canidae
Description: lncRNA (ENSCAFG00040007414.1)
Source: RNAcentral
AUGAAGGUGUCGCUGUGGGAGAGCUUCAGCCGGCUGCUCCAGCUCGGCCCCUCCUCCCCCACGGGCUCGGGCGGGAGGCUGUCCAGGUCACUGCGGGAGCACCCCACCUUGCCCUCGCCCCCGCUGCUCGAGGGUCUCGGGGUGGCUCUGCUCCAUGGUGUAGCCCAGCGCCGAGAAGACGAAGAUGCCCACCGCCAGGUACAUGAGCAGCAGCCCCAGCUCUUUGAAGCUGCGCUUGAGGGCGUAGGUGAGGGUCUGCAGGCCCGAGGAGUGGCGCGCCAGCUUGAAGAUGCGGGCGAUGCGCAUGAUGCGCAGGGCUUGCACCGCCUGCUGCACGUUGGUCAGCUCCAUCAUGCGCGCGCCCAGGUGCGUGAGCGUGAGGCUCACGUAGAAGGGGAGGAUGGCCAGCACGUCCACGAUGUUCAUGAAGGACAGCGCGAAGUGCAGCUUGUUGGGCGAGGAGAAGAGGCGCAGCAGGUACUCCAGCGUGAACCAGCCGAUGCACGCCGUCUCCACGUUCUCCAGCGUCGGGUGCUCCACGCGGUUGCCGUCGGCGUCCAGGACCUGCAGCUCCGGGAUGGUGCCCAUGCACAUGACCACCGACGAGAUGAGGAUGAGCAGGAAGGACAGCACGGCCACCACCCGCGCCGGGCACGACGACUCGGGCUUCUCCAGGAACUUCCAGACGCACUUCUGGCAGCGGCGCCAGCGGCCCUCGGCCGAGUCCACGCCCAGGUCGUCGAGGAUGAGCUGCACGCGGCGCGCGAUCUCCUCCAGCUCCUCGCGCUUCUCGCUCAGGUGGCUCUUGCAGCAGUCGUCCAGGAACUUGAGGUCCACCUUCCAGAAGUCCAUCUCGUUCUUGAAGCAGAUGGGACAGAUGCCCUUCUUCAUGUGGACCUCCCCGAAGUAGUACACCUCGAUGACACACUUGAAGGCGUCCGGGUCCCUGUCGAAGUAGAAUUCGCGCUUCCCGGGGUCGUAGUCGUCGCACAGGGAGAAGAUGGUGUCGUAGCCCCCCGCCAGGCAGCCCAUGAGCUCGGCCAGCCGGGUCUCGGGGUACUGGCUGAGCAGGUCCCCGUACAGCACCUGCCGCACGCCCCCCACGUUGACCACGAUCUCGAUGUCGUCGCCGGCCCGGGAGCCCCGGCUGCCCCGGCUGCCCCGGCUGCCCGGCUCCGGGAGGCUGCGCUCCCCCGCCGCGUCCAUGCUCCCGGCGAGCGCCCGCUCAGCCUCGGCUCCGCGCCCCGCCGCCGCCGCCGCCGCCGCCGCCGCCGCCGCGGGUCCGGAGGGUCCGGGGGGCCCGGGGGGCCCGGGGGGUCCCGGGGGGCCCGGCCGCGCGCCGCCCUCGGGGGAGCCGGCCCCGCGCCCGCCUGCCUGGAGGGGUCACAGCGGGCGGCAGGCGGCUGGGGCGCGCCGCGGGGGGGGCAUGCACCCGGCGCCGGGGCUCCUGCGGCCGGGCAUGCGGGCGCCUCCGGGGCGCGCCGGCGGGGGGCUCUCGCGGCCGCCGGCCUCGCCCUGGGCGCUCACCCCGCUCCCGGCCGGCGCCGCCCGCCGCGUGGGCUCGGCCUCCGGCACGCCCGGGGCGGCGGGGCGCGGGGGGGGGGGGGGCCGGGGGGCGGCGGUCCUCCGCCCCGGGGCGCGCGGGCAGCGGCUGGCAGGUCCCCGGGGCGCGCGGGACGAGCCCCGGAGCUGCCGGACCCACGCCGCCCGCCGAGGCGCGCGGAGAGCGAACUUGGGCUGCCUGCGCCCGAGCCGUUUCCAAACACAAUAGGAAUUCCAGCCUGA